This 75-nucleotide unclassified non-coding RNA is filed under the name Yersinia enterocolitica (type O:5,27) str. YE149/02. Lineage: Bacteria; Pseudomonadati; Pseudomonadota; Gammaproteobacteria; Enterobacterales; Yersiniaceae. The record is from RNAcentral.
GUGAUUAGCGUCCCGGAAUUCAAUAGAGCGCACGACCGCACAGGCGGUUACUAUGUGCGGGUACAGUUACACCUG